GAUGAACGCUGGCGGCGUGCCUAAUACAUGCAAGUCGAGCGAACAGACGAGGAGCUUGCUCCUCUGACGUUAGCGGCGGACGGGUGAGUAACACGUGGAUAACCUACCUAUAAGACUGGGAUAACUUCGGGAAACCGGAGCUAAUACCGGAUAAUAUAUUGAACCGCAUGGUUCAAUAGUGAAAGACGCUUUUUCUGUCACUUAUUGAUUGAUCCGCGCCGCAUUAGCUAGUUGGUAAGGUAACGGCUUACCAAGGCAACGAUGCAUAGCCGACCUGAGAGGGUGAUCGGCCACACUGGAACUUAGACACGGUCCAGACUCCUACGGGAGGCAGCAGUAGGGAAUCUUCCGCAAUGGGCGAAAGCCUGACGGAGCAACGCCGCGUGAGUGAUGAAGGUCUUCGGAUCGUAAAACUCUGUUAUUAGGGAAGAACAAAUGUGUAAGUAACUAUGCACGUCUUGACGGUACCUAAUCAGAAAGCCACGGCUAACUACGUG
Molecule: ribosomal RNA, 497 nt
Filed under: uncultured bacterium
Lineage: Bacteria
Description: partial 16S ribosomal RNA
Rfam family: Bacterial small subunit ribosomal RNA
Source: RNAcentral